GAUAUGAGUAAAAGUGACUUCAACAACCAGAAUGUGUUUUUGAUAAAUAUUAAUAAUAACAGUAACUAAAGGAAUGUUAUCAAUUUAUUAUAUGAAUCAUAAGCAUGUGCUUAUCUAUUACAAGUACCUUUGAUGGUGAAAGUUACAUUUUUUAUCUGAAAAGAGUUGGGAGAAAUUUUCAUAUUGAAACGAGAUAUUGUGUAAAGAGGUUUUCAAAGAAGUCGUUUUAACAAUAAUGGAAAAGCUUCCGAUUCCCGAGAUAAACGUGAAAGCAUUUGAUGCAUGAUUAAAGAAUCGUUCAAAAGUUUGCUUAAUUUUGACAGUGUAUUUUUAAUUACUAUUUUUUUUGAAAUAAACCAAUCAACUUAUAUAUAAA
Molecule: long non-coding RNA, 376 nt
Organism: Hydra vulgaris (swiftwater hydra)
Lineage: Eukaryota; Metazoa; Cnidaria; Hydrozoa; Anthoathecata; Hydridae
Source: RefSeq, a predicted model, not a curated record